GAUGAAGAACGUAGCGAAAUGCGAUAAGUAAUGUGAAUUGCAGAAUUCAGUGAAUCAUCGAAUCUUUGAACGCACAUUGCGCCCGCCAGUAUUCUGGCGGGGAUGCCUGUUCGAGCGUCAUUACAACCCUCAGGCCCCCGGGCCUGGCGUUGGGGAUCGGCGGAGCCCCCCGUGGGCACACGCCGUCCCCCAAAUGCAGUGGCGGUCCCGCCGCAGCUUCCAUCGCGUAGUAGCUAACACCUCGCGACUGGAGAGCGGCGCGGCCACGCCGUAAAACACCCAACUCUUCUGAAGUUGACCUCGAAUCAGGUAGGAAUACCCGCUGAACUUAAGCAUAUCAAUAAGCGGAGGA
RNAcentral lists this unclassified non-coding RNA (352 nucleotides) under soil metagenome. RNAcentral's name for it is "partial contains 5.8S ribosomal RNA, internal transcribed spacer 2, and large subunit ribosomal RNA". The stretch from base 1 to 120 matches the Rfam family "5.8S ribosomal RNA", at positions 35 to 154 of the family's 154-position model. The record is from RNAcentral.